UUUUUUUUUUUUUUUUUUUUUUUUGAGGUCAAACAAAACUAACAAUAAUCAACAUUGAUCUCAAACACUGUAUACAAAAAAAAAAUCCAACAAUUACACAUAAUAUUAACCUUAAAGCACAUAAUUAAGCUUAAAUUAGAAGCAUAUCUAUAUAUGGGUAAUUAAAUAUUUAUAGCUUCAUUUACCAUAAUCACACAGAAGAUUGUGAAACCUUGGAAACCACCAACUUACCAUCCUGAUUCAGAGCCCACCGCCACCAAUAUGUCUCAUUUCACCACUUACUGGCAUCCCACCAACCCCCUGGUAAGAAGGAGGUGCCUGCAUUACACCUCCCUGCG
This 338-nucleotide unclassified non-coding RNA is filed under the name Hevea brasiliensis (rubber tree). Lineage: Eukaryota; Viridiplantae; Streptophyta; Magnoliopsida; Malpighiales; Euphorbiaceae. The record is from RNAcentral.